This 73-nucleotide transfer RNA is filed under the name Microconidiobolus nodosus. RNAcentral describes it as "Conidiobolus nodosus tRNA-Pro". It matches the Rfam family "tRNA". From Rfam's summary of the family: Transfer RNA (tRNA) molecules are approximately 80 nucleotides in length. Lineage: Eukaryota; Fungi; Entomophthoromycota; Entomophthoromycetes; Entomophthorales; Conidiobolaceae. The record is from RNAcentral.
CGGAUUGAGGUCGAAAAGGAUAGGCGUCUAAUUUGGGAUUAGAAGAAUACGAGUUCAAGUCUCGUCAAUCCGA